This 1193-nucleotide long non-coding RNA is filed under the name Apteryx owenii (little spotted kiwi). RNAcentral's name for it is "lncRNA (ENSAOWG00000011046.1)". The record is from RNAcentral. Lineage: Eukaryota; Metazoa; Chordata; Aves; Apterygiformes; Apterygidae.
CCACUGUGCAGUUCUUUAUCCUCUCCAAGUCCUUCUUCAAAAUUUUCUGCUUCUUUACCGUGUGUGGUACACCACAAAUACCUGCUCGUGGCUAGGCAGGUAGAAAGCUGUACUUUCAGCUUUUGAUGGGCCAAGAACUGCGUAUCUGCUCUUUUAUCUGGAUGAUGUUGCUCUAUCUAUUCCUCUUCCAGCCCUUUGGUUCAUCUGUUGUUGUGUAUGUUUCCCAGAUGAAGCUCUCCUCCAGCACGUUGUCAUGUUCGUGAGUGGACAAGUGCUAGGGACCAUCAGACUCUACCUUGCCAGAUAUGUGGAAGGAGAGUCAUAACAGAAGAGAUUCUCAUUAUAUUAAGGAGGAGGAUUUUAAGCUUGGGCUUUAAGAAAGAUGUUGACAAAAUGGGGAGAGUGAAGAAAAAAACAAGUAAAAUGGGAAGAAAUUUAGAAAAUGUGGCCUAUGAAAAAAAGAUUGAAUAAAUUAGACUUGUUUACUCCAGAACAAGGAAAACUGAAGAGACUUCAUGGAGGAAGGCUGGUAAUAACCUUCUUAAAAGUAGAAGAUGUAAAGGACUAUCUAGUAUCAGAUAAGGAAAUAUCACCUUCCCUUUAUAAGAAAAGGAGUAAGCAGAGUGAAGAUCAGCCAACUACUUCCACCUCUGUUCUUACACCAAGGUCUCAUCAGUAGAUGAAUGGCUUGAGAAACAACAGAUUUCAUGUUUGGAGACUGGAAACUGUGACAAAAGUACUGUGGGAAGCACAGAAGGGAUUAACUGUAACUGCUGUGUCAGUCAUCUUUCUACACUGUUUAUCGCUUCUUCCACAGAGUGCUAUACUUUUCCUUGUCUUAUGCAAUGUGCUAGCAUUAACGCGAAAGACAGUCCCGCUCUGAAGAGGUGAACAGAGAAGGGCAACUUUGUUUUGCAGAGGAUUGUGCUAUUUCAGAAUACAAUUUCUUUCUGUCUGGAGCAAUCCCCUAUUUAGAAAAAAGGAGUGGAACUGUGGCUCUGGGGAACUGCCUGAGGUGGAGUGCCCUGAGCCAUGAGCAAGAGGACUCCCCACGCAGCAGGCUGCCCCACAGCUGUGGACACUGAGAGCUCCAGCUAUCAAGGAAAUGAGAGCUUGGAAGCCCUAGAGCCAAGGCUCCCGGCACUUCCCAGAUCUCUGCCAAGGAACCAGGUCAGCAAGCUGUCAGGAAGCUG